CCCCAGCGCCACAAGUGGUUAUCACGAUUAUUGGGCCUAAAGCGUUCGUAGCCGGUUUGGUAAAUCUCUUGUGAAAUUGUUCGGCUUAACCGGACAGCGUGCAGGAGACACUGCCAGACUCGAGACCGGGAGGGGUUAGAAGUAUUCCAUGGGGACUGGUAAAAUGGGAUAAUCCAUGGAAGACUACCGAUGGCGAAGGCAUCUAACCAGAACGGAUCUGACGGUGAGGAACGAAAGCCAGGGGAGCGAACCGG
Molecule: ribosomal RNA, 254 nt
Filed under: uncultured bacterium
Lineage: Bacteria
Description: partial 16S ribosomal RNA
Rfam family: Archaeal small subunit ribosomal RNA
Source: RNAcentral